RNAcentral lists this ribosomal RNA (471 nucleotides) under uncultured bacterium. Its description in RNAcentral is "SSU rRNA". It matches the Rfam family "Bacterial small subunit ribosomal RNA", at positions 26 to 518 of the family's 1533-position model. The record is from RNAcentral.
AGGACGAACGCUGGCGGCGUGCUUAACACAUGCAAGUCGAGCGGAAAGGCCCUUCGGGGUACUCGAGCGGCGAACGGGUGAGUAACACGUGAGUAAUCUGCCCCUAGCUCUGGGAUAGCUCCGGGAAACCGGGAUUAAUACCAGAUACGACCACUUUAGACAUCUUCUGUGGUGGAAAGAACUUCGGCUAGGGAUGAACUCGCGGCCUAUCAGCUUGUUGGUGAGGUAACGGCUCACCAAGGCGACGACGGGUAGCCGGCCUGAGAGGGCGACCGGCCACACUGGGACUGAGACACGGCCCAGACUCCUACGGGAGGCAGCAGUGGGGAAUAUUGCGCAAUGGGCGAAAGCCUGACGCAGCGACGCCGCGUGGGGAUGGAAGGCCGUUCGGUUGUAACCCUUUCAGCAGGGACGAAGCGAAAGUGACGGUACCUGCAGAAGAGCGCCGGCUAACUACGUGCCAGCAGCCGC